Molecule: long non-coding RNA, 27191 nt
Filed under: Vitis vinifera (wine grape)
Lineage: Eukaryota; Viridiplantae; Streptophyta; Magnoliopsida; Vitales; Vitaceae
Description: long non-coding RNA (VVIN_LNC005266)
Source: RNAcentral
AUCCUCAAAGGACUAUGUCUUGUCGUACGUCGAUACUUUGCUGGAUCUGCAGUUGCCGGAAGAGAAGAGGAAGCUUAAUGAAGGAGAGAUGGUGACGCUGUGCUCGGAGUUUCUCAGUGCCGGAACUGACACUACCUCCACUGCACUGCAGUGGAUCAUGGCGAACCUGGUGAAGUCCCCCCAUAUUCAGGCCAGGCUUUUCGAGGAGAUUAGUGGGGUUGUGGGCGAAGACGAGGAGGAGGUGAAGGAGGAGGAUUUGCUGAAGAUGCCAUACUUGAAGAAAGUGGUCUUGGAAGGGUUGAGGCGGCAUCCUCCGGGACACUUUGUGUUGCCUCAUUCAGUGACCCAAGAUGUAAGCUUUGAAGGGUAUGACAUACCCAAGAACGCAACUGUGAAUUUCAUGAUAUCAGAGAUGAAUUGGAACCCAACGAUUUGGGAAAACCCAAUGGAGUUCAAGCCAGAGAGGUUCUUGAACAACAAUGGAGAUGGAGACCAUGGAGUUGAAGGGGAAGCAUUUGAUAUAACUGGGAGCAGAGAGAUAAAGAUGAUGCCAUUUGGUGCAGGGAGGAGGAUAUGUCCCGGGUAUGGGUUGGCAAUGCUGCUUUUGGAGUAUUUUGUGGGGAAUUUGGUGUGGAAUUUUGAAUGGAAGGCAGUGGAGGGAGAUGAAGUUGAUCUAUCUGAGAAGAUGGAGUUCACAGUAGUAAUGAAGAAUCCAUUGCAGGCUCGCUUAUCUCCGAGGUUGAAAUAGGGUAAAAAUCGAAAAUAAAUAAAUAAAGAAGUAGAGGUCUUUAGAAGAUCCUCACUGCACCACUAUUACUUCAUUAUCACCAUAAUUCAUAUGAUAUUUCAGUAUAAUGUAUGGAUUUGAAUUACAUGUACUAUAAAUCUAUAACAUAUAUAUGCAGAAUAUUAAAGGGACUGUUGGCUCGAUGUGUCUGCAAAAUCGUUAAGAGAGUGGGUUAUCUUUAUUUGUUUCUACGUCUUGGUUGACAACAAAAGAACCCUUGUCGUACCGCAAAUAACUUUUGGACAGGGCCGGGGAGUUUUAGUUAAUGAAGAAAUAAUCGUAAUCCAUAUGAUAUUUUCAUUUUGCUUUUCAUUCAAGGUAGAUUAAAGUUAUUUUAAGAGCAGGUUAAAGUUAUUUUAAAAAGUGUUUAUAAUCUUUUUAAUACUUAAAAAAUUUUAUUUUUUAAUACUUAAAAAUUUUUAUUUUUUAAUAUUAAGAAGACUAGAAAUACUUAUCAAAAUCACUAUCAAACACAGCCUAAAAAUAUGUUUGAAAGUGAUUUUAAAAAGUAUUUAUAACAUUUUUAAUACUUGAAUCAUACAAAAUAUUAAGUAUUAAAAAUAUUAAAAACGUUUUCUAGAAUCACUGUAAAACCAAUUCUAAGACUUCAAUUCAUAUUAAUUCUAAAAAGUAUUUUUUACAUAUAAAAAAAUAUUUUUAAAGAAAAAUUAAAUAGUUGAUAAAAUUUUUAAAAUAUUUUUAAAAAAAUAUUUAUAAUAUUUCCUAAAAACACAUUUAAAAUAAAUGAUUCUUUUUAAAUAAUUCUAUUGAAAGCAAAAUAUAUAAUAUGAAAUUGAUAAUAUAUAUAUAUAGAAAAAUAUGUCACGUGUGUUUGCCAUUAUUUCUUAGGUCUACGUUUGAAAACAAAUAUAUAUAUCUUACUAAAGAAGAAAACUACCAAAAAGCAACCACGUCACAUUCUAUUAAAUUUUAUACCAACCAACCCAUGUAUCUAAUGCAGAUGGCAACAGUAGCACAACCCAGAGCAGAUCAUCUUCUUCUUCAUUCUGGGAGCUUGGAUUGGAUUUCAUAGCAAAGAUGGAGACAUGGGUCUUCAGCAUCAUCAUCUCCCUCUGUGUGUCCGCUUUACUCGAGCCUCUAUGUGAUUUCAUAUUUCCAAAACUGAAUUCCCCUCUAGGACCCACCACGGUUCCUUUAGUAGGGAACUUCCUAUGGCUCUUUAAAUCCUUCGCAGAGCUUGUGCAACAGUAAGAAAGAAUUAAAAAGCACAAAGUUUUACUUUUUGAUAACUCUUACAGAAGGAACCAGUCCCCCUUAUACCUAAAAGUCAUUUACUGAGCAAAGCAUAAAUCACGAAAUAAAAUAAAAUAAACAUAAAUCAGAUAAUAAAAUCAAGCAAUAAUUACCAAACUUUGGUUUUUCAGAAAUACCCAAAAUAAAAUCAAAAUUCCCAAUUUAAGAGGGUUGUUACAUUUCCUGCCCCUUCAGAUAAGCCUUGUCCUGAUAUAAAGGAAAUUUAUCUUGUAGCUUAAAUGCACCUUCUCUUAUCCAAGACAAAAAAGGGCUCAAGUUACAACUGGACAUCUUCUUGCGUUGCUGGUAACUCCAUGGGAGGAGUGAUUGACUUCCCAAUUUUUUUCUUUAAGCAAGAAACAUGAAAGAUAUGAUGAAUUUUUUAAUUUGUUGAUAAUUCAAUUUGUAGGUAACCUGUCAAAUUCAUUGAAUAAUCUUAUAUGACCAAAGAAUUGAAGAGACGACUUCCUAUUCCCUUUGAAUGACACAGUAUUUUGUUUAUAAGGUUGUAGAUGAAAGAAGACCAUAUCUCCCACUUCUAAUGUCCUUUCACAUCUUUUUUGAUCUACAUACAUCUUCAUUCUAGUUUGGGCUUGAAUAAGAUUAGUCUUGAGUAGUCAUAUCAUGACAUCCAAUCCCUUAAAUUAUGUGGAGUUUGAGUUUGAUUUUGGGAAAUAUUCAUCGCAUAGGAGUUAUCCUAAAAAUAUAUUCAUAGUACCUUCCUUAAUGUCAUAGUCACUAAGCAUUUGUUUCAUUUAAAGGAGUUGGGUACAACAACUCCCUAUGACUAUAUACUUCGCUUCCACAAUGGACAAUGAUAUUAAGUUUUGCUUCUUCAAAUUUUCAAAACUUAAUCUCAAUUUUUUUUAAAUUCCCACUCCUUACAUACGACGUAGCAACUUUUACAAAAUUUCUCCCAAUUAGAUACUAACGCGUAGAUGUUCACCACUUUUUUUGACCAUUUGACCCACAAUUUUAUGAAAUGCUUUAUGCUUCUAGAAUCUGACAUGUCCUUAAAAACUCGGGUAUUACAGAGCAGAUAUAGGUUGGAACCCAAAGGUGUGGGAGGAUCCAAUGGAGUUCAGGCUUGAGAGGUUUCUGACCGGAGAAGUAUUCGAUAUAAAUGGGAGCAGAGAGAUCAAAAUGAUGCCAUUUGGUGCAGGAAGAAGGAUGUGUCCAGGGUUUGGCUUAGCUAUGCUUCAUUUGGUCUGGAAAGCUGAAAAGAGAGCUGUGGAUGGAGAUGAUAUUGAUCUAUCAGAUAAGGACCUAGAGUUCAUGUCAGUGAUGAAGAAUCCAUUGCAGGCUCUCAUAUCUCCUAGGUUGAAAUAAGAUACAAAGUUAAUAAUAGAGUGGCUUUCACAUUUGCAAUAAAAUAAGAUAGACUAUAGUUUAAGAAUACGUCCCCUCCGUUUUUGAGGUUGUAAUACUUAAGAAAAAAGAGUGGCAGUUUCAUUGUUGAGGAUAAAAGCAAAUGAGAGUGAAAGCUUGCUAUGAGUGUGAUUCAUUGCUAUCAUAUAUCUGAAGAAAAAUGUUUUUAUCUUAUGGUUGAAUUUUUCCUCACCCAUUAGGGUUUCUUAUGUAUCGUUGAUAGUAUAUCUAGCUAGUUACACUAGGAAGGAUAGUCAUCUUGAGAUUAUGUCUUUUAAAAGUACCAUCAUUGAAUUUAUUUUGAAUAUGAUUUAUAAGAUCACAAUAAUUGGCAUGCAUAGACCUAAAAUGGAUCAUGAAACUAAUGGCAGAAGCUUCUUAUAAAAGAAGUUAGAUUUGUGUUUUUACUCGAGAUAAUAAAUAUCAGCAUGAUAAUACCCCUUAGUAUAAAUUUUAAAUUUAUUUGGAUUUUUUUUACUAAUUAAUUAACAAUUUUAUUCAAGAGCUUAACUUACAAAAACGGUCAAGUUAAUUUCAUAUUAAUUUUGACACUAUUUUUUCAACUCCAAGUGGCUUAAAUCUUACAUGUCAUAAAUCCAAUUUUCUGCUAUAUGAACAGGACGAUUGUAUGCUCUCUUUUGUGCUAACAUAAAGCAAAAUGUCUUUUACUAAUAGAAAAAUACAUCAUAAUGCCACUUACAUACUGCACACGAGAAAAAAAAAAGGGAAAUUAAAGGCACAAAGCUAACAAUGAAGAUACAAGCCACAUCUUAUUUCAAUCUCUUGGAGAUAGGCGAGCCUUCAGUGGAUUCUUCAUCACUGUUGAGAGCUGCUGCUUCUCUGAUAGAUUAACUUCAUCUCCCUCUACAGCCUUCCAUUCAAAACUCCACACCAAAUUCGCCACAAAAUACUCCAAAUGCAGCAUGGCUAGACCAUAACCAGGACACAUCCUCCUACCUGCACCAAAUGGCAUCAUUUUGAUCUCACUGCUCCCGGUUAUAUCAAAUACUUCGCCUCCAUCCCCAUCACCAUUUUUAUUCAAGAACCUCUCAGGCUUGAACUCCAUUGGAUCUUCCCAAACAUUUGGGUUCCUACCUAUCUCUGCUACCAUGAAAUUCACAAUAGUAUUCUUGGGUAUUAUAUACCCAUCUAAGACUACAUCUUGGGUCACUGAGUGAGGGCUCACAAAGUGUCCCGGAGGAUGACGUCUCAGACCUUCCAAGAUCACUGCCUUCAAGUAUGGCAUCUUCUGCAAAUCUUCCUCCUUCACCUCUUUCUCUCCUACCCCCACAACCCCCAUUAUUUCCUCAAAUAGCUUGACCUGAAUAUGCGGGUACUGCACCAGGUUUGCCAUGAUCCACUGCAGGGCUGUUGAUGUAGUAUCAGUCCCAGCACCGAGAAACUCGGAACAUAAACUCACUAUCUCUCCUUCAUUAAGUUUCCUCUUCUCAUCUGGCAGCUGCAGAUCCAGCAAAGUAUCAACAUACGAAAUGAAAUAGUCCUUUGAGGAGGAAGACAAAUCGUUACUGUCUUGUUUUUGUUUUCUUUGCAUGUCAUGGUUAAGCCUUUGUCUGCCUCUUAUGAGAGGGAUCAGUACUUCUUCCUCAUCUUUGCAAAUCUGUAAGAACUCCCUCCAACGCUUGCGAAACAGUAUCUUUCCCACCAUUGGCCAGAAAUUGAGUGGCUGGAAGCUAAUGAAACUUGCCGUAAGUCUAUGCACUACGCUUCCAAUUUCUUGGAUAUGGCCUUCAUCAAGCUUGCAACCAAAACACAUGAAAACCAGUAAGCAAAACAUGGUAUACAGGAAGUGAUCCAUCACCGGAACAGAUUCCGAGUGGCAUUGAAGCCGAGACUUUAGAAUUUCCAACGCCCACUUGCGAGCAUGGGAGUACAAUCUGAUGCGUGAGGGAUGGAGGAUUUCUAAGGUGAGGUUGCGGCGAAGGAGCCGCCAGGUUGGGCCAUAGUGAGCACAACUAACGUUAUGUGCAUUUCUGCUGAUGACUGCAUAGGUAGGCUGGGAAUGAGGGCGAUCAGAGAAUAUGGCACCAUUUUGGAUUAGAGCUUGGUGGGCGAGGGAGUUGGUGGAGAUGAAGACCGCGAGGCGAGAGCCGAAUUGAUGGGCGAUGAUCGGGCCGUAUUUAUCAUGUACGUUUCGGAGGGUGGACUCGACGUCUGAGAACGAUAUGCCAAACCAUAUGAAGUUGCCGAUCAGUGGAACCCUAAUAGGACCCGGCGGAAGCCUUGGAUUUGGGAAGACUACAUGGGAAAGAGAUAUAAGGAGAGUAGCAACAGAGAUGGAGAUAAAGACGAAGAUCCAGACCUCCAUUUUCGUGAUCAAUAAACCAAAUGUAACCUCAAAUAAAAGGCUCUGCUUAUGUGAUCUCUCCAUCCUCCACGUAUGCUUAAGGAAGAUAUAUAUGAACGGAAUGAAAACACGUAAAGAACAGAAGAGAAAGCAAACAGAGAUGUAACAUCAUAAUAUUAUCAUCUCGGGCACUACAACAAAUUACAGCAAACAAAGCAAUAUCGUCACAUCAUCAUAAUUGGAAUAAAAAACAAAACAAAUCUGUGAUGUUAUCACACUAACUUUGGACCAAGCUAGAAGUAGAACAAUGUGUGGAUCCUAGAGUUGAUUGCCCUACAUGUCGUCACUCGUAACUCGUAAGUGCCUUUGUCAAGGCUCCCCUUUUUUUAUACAUAUAAACAGAUGUGGCUGAAAAAAAUCAUAUAUAGAUUCCCUACUGCAAAGCUGAAAGAAGGGUAGCAUGUGGAAUGGACCCAAAUACAUUCAAAUUAUUAGAAUUCUGCCAUUCCACUUUUGGCAAAUGAUAGGUCAUCCAUCGGUUUAUCUGUAAAGCUACGCUCUUGACCCCAUUUGAAGAAACGGUGCUCAUGGAGACCAGCUAAGAAAUGUCACAAUAUUCUUGAACCAGGAGUUUUUCCUUGCAAAAUGUGUAAUGAUUUACAGCCAUGGCAAUCCGGACCAACAAACUCUGAACUUUCAUCAUCAAUAUAGUCUAUACAUGUGCUUGUACAAAAUUGGAUUAUAUACUUUCAGGAACCCGUCUUCGAAAUGAUUUAGUAAAUGAUUAGUUAAUAGAUUUGCCAAAAUCAAAUAAAUGAGAAACAAAAGUUAAGAGCAUUUGUGAUGUGAUUUAAAAACAGUUUUUUAUUUUUAAAAAUUAGAGAAUUGUUUUUAAAAAUUACUAACAUUGUUGAUCGAUUGUUUUCUUAAAACAGAUUUUAAAAAACAAAAAUAAAAUAGAAAACAACUUUAGAAAAUAAAUAAGAAGUUGUUUUUAUCAAUUUUUUAAAAACAAAAGGAAAACAUGGAAAAAAAAACCAUAAAAAACAAAUAAAAUUGAAUAUGAUAUCAUUCUCUUCACUAUCUAAUACCAAUACUAAAAAUUUUCAAAUAUGAUCUUUCUUUAAAUUACAGGUGUUUUUCUAAAUUUCUUUUAAAAUAAAAUUAAUAAAAGAACAACUUGUCAAACAUCCUUAUUUUUAUAAAACUAUAAAACCAAUUUUUUAUCUUUAACUUAAUUAAAAAGAGCUUUUAAAAACAAAUUUCAAAAAACAUGGUCAAACUAACCCUAACUAUUUAUAUUUAUUUGGUAACUCAGUAUGUUCUUGUAAUGUUUAAGAGCUUUAUUAUGGGAACACUUUCUUUUUUGCAUGUUUGAUAAGUUUCAUGAUCCUUAUCUUAAUGGUUUAGGUGAUGUGGUGGUCUUGGCAAUAGCCCAUAGUCAUUUUAUAACCUAAUUGAGAAUAUCAAAAUUUAAUUUUUCUUUUGCAAGAACUUACAUCAUUUGAGUCGACAAAUCUACUAUAUUUAAAGUGAACCAUGUAUUCAUUUGUCAUUAUAAUAGCUACUUGUCCUACUAUGACAUUAUUUUUAACUUCAAUUAUUUUACUAUGCUUUAAGCAUGUAUCUACUAUAUACUAUAUUAGUUAAUUAUUAAAUUAACAUUUUUAUAUAGGAAUUUCCAAGAAAUUUCAUGUCAUUCCCUUGGAAUCAACUCCCUCUUCGGUGAUGAUAAAAUUUGUCUCAUCAAAAUAAUAAUUUACACAAUAAGUCAUACCACACUUCAUUGGUAUAGAUAAACAAGUCAAAUUCCUUUUUAUAAAAGAAUAAUAGGGUAGAGUUUAAAAACUAAGCCCAAUCUUAUUCAAACACUUUUCUUUCAUUUUUAUCUUUAUAAAAUAAUUUAUCCUCCUAUUAUUUUAUUUACUAAUAAAAUUCACCAUUUGUGAAUUAAAUAGUAAAUAACAUAGAUAAUAUAUAAAUAGUAUGCUUUUUUAUUUUUUAUUUUUAUUUUAGGGUCCAACUAACUAAACCCAAAUUCUUAAGAGGUCUAAAUUAGCAUUUUUUUUUUCAUUCUUUUCAUUUUAUCAAUAAGUAAAAAGGAUUAUUAAAAUUCACAUAAUGUAUCUAAAGAUAAGAGAUAGAAUAACGAUUUAAGCAAAUCUUAAAAAAUAAAAAUUAUAAAUUUAUGAAAAUAAAAAUUAUAAAUUCAUGAAAAAAAAAAUUGUAUAGCAAUCCAAUUGUGCUAGAAUAUUUUUGCAUGGGAAAAUUAAAAUGGAAAAUUCAUAUUUCUAUUCCCUAUAAGAAUAAUUCAAAUUACAAACAUCAUCCUACAAAUUUAAUACUUCUCAAUCAUAGAUGAAAAAUUGACAUAGAUUUUGACUAGCAUAAAAAAAUAUUAAUAUCACCAUUUUUAUAACUUAUAAUUAUAAAUAAUAAUUGCAUAGCUUUUUUUAUGUAUAAUUUUAAUUUUUAAAAAUAAUAUUAAUAUUGUUAUUUUCAUAACUUAUAUAAUUUCUAGAUAUGUAUAAUUUUGGUUUGUAUAAAAAUUAUUAAUAUUAUUGUUUUCAUAACUUUUAGUUAUAAAUAAUAAGUUUCUAACUAUGUAUAAUUUUAAUUUGUAACAUAUAGCUUGUGGCUAUAUAAGUUUUGACAUUUAUUAAUUUUUAGCUAUUUUUUCUUUUACAUAACUUUGUACCUUAUCAUGAAAAUGAUGUAGGAGCUUUUAAAGUAUUUCUCAUGAAAUUUCAUCCAAAGAUAUUAAAUGUAGAUAAUAAAUCUUCUUGCUUGUUCUAUUGAGUAGAAGUCUUCAAAUGAUGGUAGGUAUUUAUAACAUGUUGUAAAAUAUAUAAAAAUAAAUAAUAUAGAAAGAAGAAAUUAAAAUAAUAUUUAAGUAGUGGUCUCUCUUUUGUAGGAAGUAAAUGAAUACUAAUUAUUAUUCAUGGUUUUUAAAAUAUUAUAAAUUCUCAUAUUUUAAAAUAUAAAUAUAAUUUUUAUAAUUUUUCAUAUUUUAUAAAAUAAAUAUAAUUUUUAGUAAGAAGUGAUUCUAAAAGUUUUUUAUUUAAAAUAAUAAACUCUAAUAGUUGUGAUUGACUACUUUUUGAGAAACAAUAAAAACACGUACUCCAAUAAAAUAAAAUAAAAAAAGAAAUAUCACUGUCACCAUCCAAGAUAAGUGAUUACUUCUAACCACACAACAUUCCCCAGACUUCCAGAUAGAUAAUAUAUAGUUAUAUCAGCCAGAACCAGAGAAUUUUUCAAUGGAUUUUGAUCGGCAAAAAAUGGAGAUAUGGGUCUUCUUCUUCAUCGCCUCACUCUGUAUUGCUUCCCUCCUCAAAUCUCUCCAUGAUUUCUUCUUCCCAAAGCUCAAACUCCCACCAGGACCCGCCGCCUUUCCUCUCAUCGGAAGCCUCCUCUGGCUCGGCACAUCCUUCGCCGACCUCGAACCCACCCUCCGAAAUUUACACGCCAAGUACGGCCCAAUCCUCACUCUCCGAAUCGGCUCUCGCCCGGCCAUCUUCAUCUCCGAGAACUCCCUCGCCCACCAGGCCUUGGUGCAAAACGGAGCCGUUUUCUCCGACCGUCCUGAGGCGCGUCCGGCCGGUAGAGUCAUGAAUAGUAACCAGCGAAACAUCAGUUCGUGCCCCUAUGGCCCGACCUGGCGUCUCUUCCGCCGCAACCUCAUGGCCGAGAUUCUCCACCCUUCCCGGGUGAGAAGCUACUCCCACGCACGAAAGUGGGUGCUGGAGAUUCUGGUCUCUCGGCUUAGAAGCCACUCCGACGGAUUUGUCCCUGUCCGAGUGAUGGAUCACGUUCAAUACGCCAUGUUUUGCCUACUGGUGUUCAUGUGUUUCGGGGACAAGCUCGAGGAGAAGCAAAUUCAGGAGAUUGAGAUGAUGCAGCGAAGGUGCUUGUUGGAAUUCCGUCGAUUCAAUAGGCUAGAUUUGUUGCCGAGGAUAGGGAAGGUAUUAUUUCGAAAAACGUGGGACGAGUUGCUCAAUUUGCGCAAAGAUCAAGAAGAGAUUCUGCUGCCGCACAUAAGAGCCAGACAGCCGCUAAAGCAGGAAACGCAAAGCAAACGAGAAGAAGACAACAGCGACCCGGGUUCAUCUUCAUCCUCAAAGGACUAUGUCUUGUCGUACGUCGAUACUUUGUUGGAUCUGCAGUUGCCGGAGGAGAAGAGGAAGCUUAAUGAAGGAGAGAUAGUGACGCUGUGCUCGGAGUUUCUCAGUGCCGGAACUGACACUACCUCCACUGCACUGCAGUGGAUCAUGGCCAACCUGGUGAAGUCCCCCCAUAUUCAGGCCAGGCUUUUCGAGGAGAUUAGUGGGGUUGUGGGGGAAGGAGAGGAGGAGGUGAAGGAGGAGGAUUUGCAGAAGAUGCCAUACUUGAAGGCAGUGGUCUUGGAAGGUCUGAGGCGGCAUCCUCCGGGACACUUUGUGUUGCCUCAUUCAGUGACCGAAGAUGUAAGCUUUGAAGGGUAUGACAUACCCAAGAACGCAACUGUGAAUUUCAUAGUAUCAGAGCUGAAUUGGAAUCCAAAGAUUUGGGAAAACCCAAUGGAGUUCAAGCCAGAGAGGUUCUUGGACAUCAAUGGAGAUGGAGAUCAUGGAGAUGAAGGGGAAGCAUUUGAUAUAACUGGGAGCAGAGAGAUAAAGAUGAUGCCAUUUGGUGCAGGGAGGAGGAUAUGUCCCGGGUAUGGGUUGGCAAUGCUGCAUUUGGAGUAUUUUGUGGCGAAUUUGGUGUGGAAUUUUGACUGGAAAGCAGUGGAGGGAGAUGAAGUUGAUCUAUCGGAGAAGCUGGAGUUCACAGUAGUGAUGAAGAAUCCAUUGCAGGCCCACUUAUCUCCGAGGUUGAAAUAAGGUAAAUAAAUAAUAAAUAAAGAAGUAGAUGGCUUUAGAAGGCCCACUGCACCGCUACCACUUCACUAUCACCACAAUUCAUAGAGUGUUUGGCUAAGUUGGCAAUUUUAGAUAAAAUGUCCCUAACUCAGUUUUCCAAUUCCUUUUCGGACUACUUGACCUUUCAAAAUUAAGACUUUAAUAAGAGGUCAAGGUUUGUAACCGAGUGUGUGUUGAAUAAAGCAAAUCAAGCCUAUUUUUCAUUUUUAAAAGAGUUAAGAAAACUUAAAGAAAUGUUUUUUGCUAAAAGGUUUUUAUUCCCCUAUUUCUAGACUCAUCCAAGUGUAAAGGUAGAUCAAUCCAACUAACUUGUUUUUAAGAUCAAAUUUCAGUCAUUAGAUUAAGGGUUUCUUUUUCUUUUUAAAUACAAACUUCUCUCAUUUCUGAUAAAGAGAUGCUACAGCAAUCAUGAAAGAGAGCUUCUCAUUCUUUAGCAUUUUGAGAGUAUUUGCCUAUUAAGAAAAUCUCAUCCAAGUUUUCCAAGAAAAUUUUUUUAAUAGAUUUUCUGAAAAAGAAAAUAGGUUGAUUUCUAAAACAUUCAUCUCUCAUUCUCUUGGGUUUGUGUAAAAACUCAUUUUCAUCUUGUGUGAAUUCAAGAAAAGGUCGAGAUCGAGUUUGCUGUGGACUCCAAACGUGCUCCGAAAGAGUAAGGUAAGAAGCUGAAUGUGAAAAGUAUUAGUCAAGUGGUCCGGGAAGAAUUGGUUGGCUUUAAUUAGGUAAAACCUUGUAUUCAGUUUUUAUUCUUCAUAGUGGAUAUUUUCGUUUAAUUGUAGGCCCGUGGUUUUUUAUCUAUUCAAAGGUUUUCCACAUUACAAUUCGAUGUCAAUUGUCUUUUUAUCUCACUCUAUUCUUUGAUUUAUUUUCGAUUUUUGAUAUAAUUGGUUAUUUGAGCAUAUAUGUUGAAUGGAAGAAAUAUGAGCUGAAAUAAAUGUGAUUAUCCAUGUAAUAUCUUCAAAAAAAAAUUUGUUCGUUUUGGUUAAUGAUAUAUUGUAGUAAAUUGAAACCAGAUAAGAAGAUAAUUGUUCUUUUGAAUUAAUUUUGAGUAUUGAAGUAUUUGCAUGUUAAUUAUAUUUAUAAAUAGUUGAGAGAGUGUUGGUGCAUAAUACUUACUUGUAGAUUUUAUACUUUAUUGAAAAGUUAUUGGAAGAAAAGUUUAUUAACAUUGAGAAAUUUUAAGGUUAAGUAAUCAUUGUUGAGAAUUUUUUUUAUAGUUCAACAACACUCAUUCACCCUCUUUAAGUGUAAUCCAUUAUUAUGAUUCACCUUUCAAAUAUGAUAUUUCAUUAUAAUACAUGGAUUUGAACUACAUUUAUGUUUUGGUGCUUUCCUUAAAUUUUCGAUGUGUCCUGCAAAAUGGUCUUUUUUUCAUACUCAAUAUGAUCUAUCCAUUCUUUUUUCCAUCUAAGGAUGAGGUAGACUAAGAAUCCAAUUCUCACUAAUUCCAUAAAACACUUCUGGUAUAUUAAAAAAAAUGUUUUUUAAAGAAAAAUUAAACAUUUGACAAAAUUUUAAAAUUAGAAAAAUCAUUUAUAAUAUUUCUUAAAAAAAACACUUAAAAUAAAUUAUUCUUUCAAAAACACUUUUAGAGAAAUAAUUCCAUUAAAAACACUUCCAAUUAGCUAAAAACGCUUAAAAUAAAUUAUUCUUUCAAAAACACUCUUAGAGAAAUAAUUCCAUUAAAAACACUUCCAAUUAGCUAAGGUGUAUGCCAAAAUUUCUUGAUGAAGAACUCUAAUAUACAUAUGAAAAUUUCGGGUCAAUAUGUAGCUUCUUUUCUUUUUAUGUGGACACGUGAAUCUUUUGAAAAGUUAGGGAUGCAAUUUGGUUGGGUUAACUUGAUCCAAUUCAAACCCAACUGCAUAUUGGGUCGGCUUGUACAAUUAUUUUUAAUACUCAUAUUUGGUUUGGAUCAAGUUUUUUUUUUAUCUUUAAUUCAAUUUCGUUGAUUCAAACCAACAAUCAUAUUUUGAUAAUAUUUAUAAUUUAUAUCAUCUAUAUACUAAAAUUAAUUUUUUUAAGCCUUCAAAAAAAUAUCAAAUUAAAAUAAAAUGACAUGUAAUGUUUAUUUUUAAUUUUUCUUAUUAUCUUGAAAUUUUCUUUCACCUAUAUAUUAUUUAAAUUUUCAAAUAAUUCAACAGAUGUCAUCAACCAAUCCUCAACCCGAGCACAUUUGGCUGAAUAUAUCUCGAGUCAAAAGUUUGAUUCAGUUUGAUUUAAUUAUUUUUAAACUGGCGUCGGAUUUGGAUUAACCACCAGUCUGUUUGCCACCUAGGAAAAGCUACAUUUAUACGGUCAAUUCCAAGUCUCCAACAGCCAAUCAACAUUGGCAAGAAGGAUAUUUAGGAUAUCAACAAAGGCCAAAAAUAAAAUAGAAAAAUAAUAUAUAUAUAUAUAUAUAUAUAUAUAUAUAUAUAUAUCUUACUAAAAAAGAAAAACUACCAAAAAUCAAAUCGACCAUGUCACCUUCUAUUAAAAUCAAACAACAAUGGCCAAACUUGGCUUAUUCGGAAAUACUCAAAAUAAAACCAAAAAUCCCAAUUUAAAAGGGUCAUUACAUUUUCUUCAUAAAAGCCUUGUUCAAGACUGAAAUAAAGGAAAUUUGCCUUGUAGCUUAAAUGCAUCUUCACGUAUCUAAGAUAGAAAUGGGCUCAAGCUACAACUAGACAUCUUCUUACAUUGCUAGUAACUCGAUGGCAGAAGUAAUUGACUUCCCAAUUUUCUUUUUUAAGUAAGAAACGUAAAAAACAAGAUGAAUUUUUUACUUUACUGGUAAUUCCAAUUUGUAGGCAACCUGUCAAAUUCGUUGAAUAAUCUUAUAUAGACCAAAGAAUUGAGGAGACAACUUCAUAUUCCCUUUGAAUGAUACAAUAGUUUGUUUAUAAGGUUAUAGAUGAAAAAAGACCAUAUCUCCCACUUCAUAUGUCCUUUCACCUCUUUUUUGGUCUACAUACAUCUUCAUUCUAACUUGGGCUUGAAUAAGGUUAGUCUUGACUCUUGACUAGUCGUUUAUUGAUGAUAAUGCUUGUUCAUUUGAAUUUAACUCCUCUAUUUUUGUCAUCAAGGACUCCAAACGAUAGAUGGUAGCGAAUGGUCAAAAGAAAAGGAAGUUUUUCGCUUUUGAAGAUGAACAAAUUGAAGCUUUCACUACUAUCAAAGCACAAGGACCACCUUCAUAAAUUUGGCAUGCUUAUUUAGGGCAUCCUAAUUAUGCCUUUUAAAAAGCUUAGAAAAUAAGAAAGUUAUAGAUGUUUCCAAUUGGCUAACUAAGGACACUCCUUGCACUAGCUAUCAACUUGGAAAACGUUGUAAACUUUCCUUCAAUAAAUCAGAAACAACUACAAGUUUUCCUCUUGAAAAAAUUCAUAAUGAUUUGUGGGGAGCACCUUUUACUUAUACACAAAAGUUGCAAUAUAUACUAUGUAAUUUUUGUUAAUGAUUUCACUCAAUCCACAUGGUUGUAUCCUUUAAGGCAUAAAUUUGACUUUUACAACUGUUUUCUAAAACUUCAAGCAUUUGUUGAAAAACAUUUUGAUAGAAAAAUCAAAACUUUCCAAUGCGAUGGAGAAAGUGAGUUUACUUCAAACAAUUUCACAAAUCAUUUGCUUAAAUGUGAGAUAAAACAACAAGUAUCUUGUCCUUAUAAACCGGAACAUAAUGGAUUAACUGAAAGGAAACAUCAACAUAUUGUUGAAACAACUUGACUCUCUUUUUCAUGCUAAUAUUCCUUUAAAAUUUUGGGUAGAUGCAUUCUUAAUUGUUACUUAUCUUACCAACAUAUUACCUCUCUCUUCUAUUGGUAAGAAUUCUCCAUACUUCUAAUUUUUUUGUCAACAUCCCAAUUAUUCCAGUUUACGCAUUUUUGGUUCUCUUUACUUUCCUUAUUUAAAAACUCUUAGCAUGCACAAAUUUUCAAAAAAAACUAUACCCUAUGCUUUCAUAGGAUAUAGUCCUUUACAUAAAGGUUAAUGUCUUGAUCCCAUAUCAAAUCAAGUUUACAUUUCUCCACAUGUAGUUUUUAAUGAGGCAUGUUUUUCUUUUAUAAAAAAUGAAUCUUCCUCUUUCUCUCAUAAUCUUUCAAUUACAACUUUUCCUAACCAUGAUGAAUGGUCUUCGGGAACAUCAAGGGAACAAUUGAAGUCCUUUCUGCUUGAAGGUCCUUCACCGCAUCAACCACCAACUAAUUCUUCCACAAAAGUUCAUCAAAUUGACCUUGAGGAUACUCCUCAAGAUUUUAUUCCUCUUUCAUCUCAAACAUCUACCUCUCUUUUAUCUUUGCCUUAUUCUCUCACCCUCACAACUCAAAUAUAAUUAUCUCUUUAGGGGCUAUAAGUUCCUUAAUUUUGAACUAAUUAGUCAUUUUAUGACUUCUUUGAAAGUAUCAAAUUUUUCGUGUAUUUUUCUAAAAAAAGAAAUUACAUCAUUUGAGUUGACAAAUCUAUUACACUUCAAAUGAACCUUGUAUUCAUUUAUCGUUAUAAUAGCUACUUGUCCUACUAGGACAUUAUUUUUUGCUUCAAUUAUUUUACUAUGCUUCAGGCAUAUAUCUACUACUAUAUUAGUUAAUUAUCCUUUAAGAACAUUGACUUUUGUAUAAAAGAAUUUUCAAGAAAUUUCACAUCAUUCUCCUGAAAUCAACUUCCUCACCCAACUACAAGAAAAUUUGUCUCAUCAAAAAUAGCAAUUUGCACAAUAGGUUACACUACCCUUCAUAGGUAUAGAUAAACAAGUCAUUGGGUAAAAACUUAUGAUUUUAUAAUAUAUAUCUAUGUAACUUAUAAUGAGUUGAUGCAUUAUUAUUUACCUCGAGAAUCAUAUUGAUCAUAUCAUAUUCUUAAUAAAAUAUGAAGUGUCAUUAAUAUAAAAUUUUAUGCCAUUAGUGACAUAAUUUUAUCUCUUCAAAAGUCCACAAUCAAGCGUACUUGAUGUAUAUUAACAUCAAUUAUACAUAUAUUGUACAAUAUAUAAGACAUAUAUCAUAAAAUAAAUCUACUUGACGUUAUAAGAAUGCAACUAAUAAAUAUGAUCGAUAUAUGUAAGCAUUAAAAAUAAUAAUAAUAAUUUUUUUCAUAAUAUGGAAUGCACAAUUUUAGACGUUCCAUAGCUUGAAGAUAAUAGUGAAGAGAUAAUCAAAUUAAAUUUCAAUCAUAACAAAUUAAGAAUUUCAAUAAUUCAAUUCAAAAAUGAAAAACUCACAUAAUUCCUUCAUAUCUUCUUAUUAUGAAAAUAUAUAAAAUUUAUAUAACUUCAAGUUCCGAGUUGUACAAAAAAUUUUAUAUGAAUAUAUAAAAUAAUAGUUUCAGGCUAUAAAAUAUUCUUUAUAUAGUUUUUAACUAUAUAGUUAUAAAAAAUUGUUAUGUAUAACUUCUAAUCAUGCAACAAAAUUAAAAAUUGUUUGUAUAUAUACCUUAUCAUAAAACAAAUUUAAUUAGCAAAUAAUAGAUAUAUUAGAGAAUAUCUUAUCUAUGCUCAAGCAAAAGAAAUCAAACCAAAAAUAGCUUAAUUAGAAUUAAAUUCCUUUUAUAAAAGGAUAAUGUGGUGGUGUUUCAAAACUAAACUCAAUCAUAUUCAAACUCUUCUCUUUCAUUCUUAUCUCUAUAAAACAAUUUAUCCUCUUAUUAUUUUAUUUAUUUAUAAAAUUCACCCUUCCAAAUAAAGAGGGUCCAACUAACUAAACCCAAAAUUUUAAACUAUCAAAUUAACAUUUUCUUUUCACUCUCUUCAUUUUAUCAAUAACCAAAAAAGAUUAUUAAAAUUCAAAUAAUAUCUACAAAGAUAAGGGAUAAAAUCAAAAAUUUCAGCAAAUCUAAAAAAAUAUAAAUUAUAAAUUCAUGAAAAUAAAUAGAUUAUGUACAACAAUCCAAUCGUACUAGAAUCUUUUUGCAUUGAGAAAUUCAAAUGCAAAAUUCAUACUUCUAUUCACAAUAAUAAUAAUUCAAAUUACAAACAUCAUCCAAUAGGUUUAAUACUUCUCAAUCAUGGAUUAGAAAUUGACAUAGAUUUUGGCUAGCAUAAAAAAAAUAUUAAUAUUAUUAUUUUUAUAACUUAUAAUUAUGAAUAAUAAUUACAUGGCUUCUUGCUAUGUAUAAUUUAAAUUUGUACCAAAAAAAAAUAUUAAUAUUGCUAUUUUCAUAACUUUUAAUUACAUGUAGUAAUUAUAUAACUUCUAGAUGUGUAUUACUUUGGUUUGUACAAAAAUUAUUAAUAUUAUUAUUUUAAUAACUUUUGUUUAUGUAUAAAAAGUUUCUGAGUACAUAUAAUUUUAAUUCAUAACAUAUAUCUUCUAAUCAUAUAAGUUUUGACAUUUAUUAAAUUUACUAGCUAUUUUUACUUUUGCGUAACUUUAGACACAAAAUUCUCACACAAGUUUAUCUAUGAAUAAUGAAAAUUUGAAUUAUAUUCUAAUAAUAUAAAAAAAAAUUGAAAAUUAUAACUAUUAUAGAAAAUAAAAUCAUAUGAUUUACCUUAUCAUGAAAUUGAUGUAGGAGCUUUUAAAGUAUUUCUCAUGAAAUUUCAUCGAAAAAUAUUUAAUAUAGAUAAUAAAUCUCCUGCCCAAUUUUGUUAAGUAGUAAUCUUCAAAUAUUGGCUGGUAUUGAUAAUAUGUUGUAAAAGGUCUCCCAUUUAAGGAGAGUAAAUCAAUAUUAAUUUCUCCCAUUUUUUAGGGAGUAAAUCAAUAUUAUGAUUAUGCAUCAUUUUCAUAAUAGUAUAAAUUCUUAUAUUUUAUAACAUAAAUAUAAUUUCUAUAAAUUUUUCUCAUGUUUUGAGUAAAAAGUAUUUUUUUUUAAAAAUCAUUUAAAAAGAUAAAGUCUAAUCAUAGUGAAUGACCAAUAAAAAUAAAAGGAAAAAGGAAGAUAAGUAUCUUGGCUAACACACACAGGACCAGAGACUUUUUCAAUGGAGAUAUGGGUCUUCCUCUUCGUCGUCUCCCUCUGCAUUGCUUCUCUCCUCAAAUCUCUCCAUGAUUUCUUCUUCCCAAAGCUCAAUCUCCCACCAGGACCCGCUGCCUUUCCUCUCAUCGGAAACCUCCACUGGCUCGGCCCAUCCUUCGCCGACCUCGAACCCAUACUUCGAAAUUUACACGCCAAGUACGGCCCAAUCCUCACUCUCCGAAUCGGCUCUCGCCCGGCCAUCUUCAUCUCCGAGAACUCCCUCGCCCACCAGGCCUUGGUGCAAAACGGAGCCGUUUUCGCCGACCGUCCUGCGGCGCUUCCGGCCAGUAGAGUCAUGAGCAGUAACCAGCGAAACAUCAAUUCGAGCCCCUAUGGCCCGACCUGGCGUCUCCUCCGCCGCAAUCUCACGGCCGAGAUUCUCCACUCUUCCCGGGUGAGAAGCUACUCCCACGCACGGAAGUGGGUGCUGGAGAUUCUGGUCUCUCGGCUUAGAGGCCACUCCGACGGAUUUGUCCCCGUCCGAAUAAUGGAUCACUUUCAAUACGCCAUGUUUUGCCUACUGGUGCUCAUGUGUUUCGGGGACAAGCUCGAGGAGAAGCAAAUUCAGGAGAUUGAGAUGAUUCAACGAAAGUUGUUGUUGGCGUUCCGUGGAUUGAAUAGGCUCAAUUUGUGGCCGAGGAUGGGGAAGAUAUUAUUUCGAAAAAGGUGGGAGGAGUGGCUUAAUUUGCGCAAGGAUCAGGAAGCGAUUCUUCUGCCGCACAUAAGAGCCAGACAGCGGCUUAAGCAGGAAACGCAAAACAAACAAGAAGAUGAUUCAUCUUCAUCUUCAAAGGACUAUGUCUUGUCGUAUGUGGACACUUUGCUGGAUCUGCAGCUGCCGGAGGAGAAGAGGAAGCUUAAUGAAGGAGAGAUGGUGACGCUGUGCUCGGAGUUUCUCAGUGCCGGAACUGACACCACCUCCACUGCACUGCAGUGGAUCAUGGCGAACCUGGUGAAGGCCCCCCAUAUUCAGGCCAGGCUUUUCGAGGAGAUUAGUGGGGUUGUGGGGGAGGGAGAGGAGGAGGUGAAGGAGGAGGAUUUGCAGAAGAUGCCAUACUUGAAGGCAGUGGUCUUGGAAGGUCUGAGGCGGCAUCCUCCGGGACACUUUGUGUUGCCUCAUUCAGUGACCCAAGAUGUAAGCUUUGAAGGGUAUGACAUACCCAAGAAUGCAACUGUGAAUUUCUCAGUAUCAGAUAUGAAUUGGAACCCAACGAUUUGGGAAGAUCCAAUGGAGUUCAAGCCAGAGAGGUUCUUGAACAGCAAUGGAGAUGGAGAUCAUGCAGAUGCAGGGAAAGAAUUUGAUAUAACUGGGAGCAAAGAGAUAAAGAUGAUGCCAUUUGGUGCAGGGAGGAGGAUUUGUCCUGGGUAUGGGUUGGCAAUGCUGCAUUUGGAGUAUUUUGUGGGGAAUUUGGUGUGGAAUUUUGAAUGGAAAGCAGUGGAGGGAGAUGAAGUUGAUCUAUCUGAGAAGCUGGAGUUCACGGUAGUGAUGAAGAAUCCAUUGCAGGCUCACUUAUCUCCAAGGUUGAAAUAAUUUAUAAAUAAAUAAAAAAAUAAAGAAGUAGACGGCUUUAGAAGACCACUACUACUUCAUCAUCACCAUAAUUCUUAUGAUAUUUCAGUAUAAUGUAUGGAUUUGAACUGCACAUUCUAUAACAUAUAUGCAGAAUAUUAAAGGGAAAGUUGGCUCGAUGUGUAUGCAAAAUCGUAAGAAAGUGGGUUAUCUUUCCUUGUGUCUAGCUACCUCUUGGUUGGUCUUCUUUGAUGGGAAUUUUAUCGCAAGAGAACAAAAGGAAUCCUCCUUUCCAUGAGUCAUACAACAAAUGACUUUUUGAUGGGGCCGGGAGGUUAUAGCUAAUGAAGAAACAAUCAAACUCAAAUCAUAUAUAUUCAUUAUUUUUUUCAUCUAGGAUGAGGUUGUCUAAAUCCCACCUUCUUGGGAGAGACGAGCCAUGAAAAAGCAAGAAAGUGCAAUCAAUACUAAGCCCUAUGCCUAGAUUUCUUGACCAGUAACUCUAAUAUGCAUAUAAAAAUUUCCAUUCGAUGUGUAGUUUCUUCUGUUUUUAUGUUCAACGAUAAUUACCUACUUUCUUCUAUCCCUGUCAUUAAAGCAUCAAGAAGCACAAUAUUGGCAUUGGGUUAGAACGAGAUACAAUUUAUCUGUCAUCUAAGUGGAAAGGUGAGAAGUAUUAUUUGGUCAGCUUAGCCCGAACCUAGUCCGAAUCCAACUUCACCUUUGGUCAGAUUUUGAUUUGGAUCAAGUUUUUUCAAUCUUUUAACUCAAUUUGAAUUGGUUGCAAACAAGGUUCAUGCUUUGAUCAUAUUUAUAAUUUAUAUUUUCUCACGUAUUAAUAUUAAUUUUAUUUUAUAUAUUAUUUAAAUUUCCAUUUAAAUCACACAACAUGAAGCUAAUCUAAUCUAACCAUCCAAACCUAGUAUGAUGGGAUUUGAUUAGGUUUGAAAUUAAUUAUUUUGAAGUAUACCCCAGAUCAGAUCAAAGGUCUGAUUGGGUUCCAAAUUAAUUAUUUUUAAAUUCUGACUUGGAUUGGGAUAACCCUCAAUCGAUUUGCCAACCCAGCAAAUUAUCCAUCUACGGUGUCAAUUGCAAUAACCAAUCAACGUGAGCAAUACAGGAUAUUUAGGAUAACUACAAAAGGCCAAAACCAACUUAGGAUACUGACAAACUACAGUCUAAAUAACAUGAAAUUGAUAUAUAUAUAUAAAGAAGAAAAGCUACGAAAAAACCACGUCAUCUUCCAUGAAAUUGACUCCUGACCACCCAAUAUGUCUAAUGCAGAUAGCAGCAUUAGCACAAUCCAGAAGCAUAUCUUUCUUCUUCUCCAUCCUGAUUGAUUGGAUUGGAUUUCAUAACGAAAAUGGAGACAUGGGUCUACAACAUCGUCAUCUCCCUCUGCGUUGCUGCUUUGCUCAAGUCUCUUUAUGAUUUCAUCUUUCCAAAACUGAACCUACCUCCAGGACCCACCACGGUUCCUUUUGUGGGGAACCUGCUAUGGCUCCUUAAAUCCUUCUCAGAGCUUGAACCAAUCCUCCGAAACCUCCACGCCAAGUAUGGACCCAUCGUCACCCUCCAAAUCGGCUCUCGUCCGGCCAUCUUCGUCUCCGCCAACUCCCUCGCCCACCGGACCUUGGUCCAAGAUGGUGCCGUUUUCGCUGAUCGCCCCAAGGCCCUGCCCACCAACAGAAUUUUUAGCAGUAAUCAGCAUAACAUCAGCUCCGCGGUCUAUGGCCCGACUUGGCGCCGCCUCCGCCGCAACCUCACCGCCGAGAUCCUCCACCCUUCACGGGUGAGAAGCUAUUCUCAGGCGCGAAGGUGGGUCUUGGAGAUUCUAAUCUCUCGGCUCCAAGCACGCUCAGAGUCAGGUGAGGCAGUCCGGGUCGUGGAUCACUUUCAGUAUACUAUGUUUUGCUUGCUGGUUCUCAUGUGUUUUGGGGACAAGCUUGAGGAGAAGCAGAUUCAAGAGAUUGAGACGAUUCAAAGAAUAUUGUUGUUGGGUUUUCCUCGCUUCAAUAUAUUAAACUUCUGGCCUAGGGUGGGAAAGGUAUUGUUCCGACAUCGUUGGGAGGAGUUGUUCCAGCUUCGCAAGAAACAGGAAGACAUUCUGCUCCCAUACAUAAGAGCCAGGCAGCAGCUAAAGCAAGAAAUCCAAAGCAAACAGCAACAAGACGGCCUUGAAUCAGAUUCGUCUCCCUCCUCAAAGAACUAUGUUUUGUCGUAUGUCGAUACUUUGCUGGAUCUGCAGCUACCAGAAGAAAACAGGAAACUAAAUGAUGGAGAGAUGGUGAGUUUGUGCUCAGAGUUUCUCAAUGGUGGGACUGAUACCACAUCCACUGCACUGCAGUGGAUCAUGGCGAACCUGGUGAAGCACCCGCAUAUUCAGGCCAAGCUUUUGGAGGAGAUUAGUGGGGUUAUGGGGGAAGGGAAGGAAGAGGUGGAGGAGGAAGAUUUGCAGAAGAUGCCAUACUUGAAGGCAGUCAUCUUGGAAGGUCUUAGGCGGCAUCCUCCAGGACACUUUGUGUUGCCUCAUUCAGUGACCCAAGAUAUAACCUUUGAAGGGUAUGUUAUACCCAAGAACGCCUCUCUCAAUUUCAUGGUAUCAGAGAUGAAUUGGAACCCCAAGAUAUGGGAAGAUCCAAUGGAGUUCAAGCCAGAGAGGUUCUUGAACAGCAAAGGCAAUGGAGAUGAAGUGUUUGAUAUUACUGGGAGCAGGGAGAUUAAGAUGAUGCCGUUUGGUGCAGGAAGGAGGAUAUGUCCCGGCCAUGGCCUAGCGAUGCUGCAUCUGGAGUAUUUUGUGGCCAAUUUGGUAUGGAGUUUUGAAUGGAAGGCUGUGGAGGGAGAUGAAGUUGAUCUAUCAGAGAAGCAGGAGUUCACGGUAGUGAUGAAGAAUCCAUUGCAGGUCCACUUGUCUCCACGAUGGAAAUAAGGCAAAAGUAGAUGGCUUUAGGAGACCACCACUGCACCAAAGUCCAUCACUAGUUACUAUAAUCAUCAAUAAUAUGCCUGUCACAACAGCUUUGAAUGUUAGAAUGAGCUCUCUUAUAAUGUUUGGAUCUGAAGCAUAUAAUAUUGUAUAUGUGAAAAGCUUACCAGUCAUGGUGUCAAGGGGACUUUUCUCAAUAGUACCAUAAUUUAAAAAAGUUAUGCUUAAAUUAUUAUAGUAGAAGAAGUUAUUACAAAUAUAUGAUAGUUUUUGCAACCUAGGAAAGAGGAGAGAGGAGAGAGGGUGAACGGAUAAAUUUUUUUUUAAACCAAAAUUAUCUUUUCAAAUUUCAAAAGAUGAAAUCGUCUUUUCUAAAGAUGAUUUUAAAAAAAAUUCAAAAGGGAAAUUGUCGCUUCUAGANNNNNNNNNNNNNNNNNNNNNNNNNNNNNNNNNNNNNNNNNNNNNNNNNNNNNNNNNNNNNNNNNNNNNNNNNNNNNNNNNNNNNNNNNNNNNNNNNNNNCUCGUCUCUUCAAGAGACGACUUCCAUGAAGAAAAAUAUAUAUAUAUUUUUUUAAAAAAAAUCCCAAAUUAAAAAAAAAAAAAAAAAAAAAAAACCAAUUCCUCAAGGGAACUCGUCUCUUGAAAAGACGAGUUCCUUGAGGAAUUUUUUUUUUUUUAAUUUGGGAAUUUUUAAAAAAAAUAUAUAUAUAUUUUUUUUAUGGAACUCGUCUCUUAAAGAGACGAUUUCCCUUUUGAAUUUUUUUUAAAAUCGUUUUUUGAAAAGACGAUUUCGUCUUUUGAAAUUUGAAAAGAUGAUUUUGGCUUUAAAAAAAAUUUAUCCGUUCACCCUCUCUCCUCUCUCCUAGGUGGCAAAAACUACCAUAUAUUUGUAAUAACUUCUUCUACUACAAUAAUUUAAGCAUAACUUUUUUAAAUUACCGUACUAUGAGAAAAGUCCGUCAAGUUGGUUAGGACAUAUACAGAUACCGAAAUGUGUGGUAGAGGCACAUGAACCCAUGUUUAAUUCCUACCUCUACUUGAAUACCUUGAAUUACUCAGUUAUUAAAUUAAUAAAUAAAUAAAUCUCAAUAAAUGAAAGCCAUAUUUGAGUCUUACUCUUAAAAAUUCCAGAAAUGGGACCCCAGGUGUGGACGUGUAUCAAAUUCUCAGUAAGGAGGCAGACCUCUACCAUGCCAAGUUCAAGUUCUCUCUUCUGGGAACUAACGGCUUAGGAAAUGCUGAAUAUAUCUGCAAAGCCCUGAUUCAUAAGCUCUAAAGCAUGAGCCACAAUGUUCAAGCUAAAAAUGUCAAAAAUCACAUGAAAGUGGAUUUGAAUGCUUAGUCCAACUGUUUCACAUCUUUGAAAGAUCUAUUUAUUUCCUUCCAAACAACACAAAACACAUACAAGGAAGCCACGCUUUUUUCCAUUUCUUUCCUACAAUGGAUCUGUGCCAAAGAGAAAGGGUUCUUCUCACAACUAGGGAUGGCAACGGGGCGGGUUCGGGGCGGGGCGCCCCCCUCCCAACCCCGCCCCGUUUAUUUAAACCAAUUCCCAUCCCCGUCCCAUUUAAAAAAUUAAACGGGGCGGGGCGGGGUGGGCGGGUAUGCUACAUUCCCAUACCCGCCCCGUUUAAUUUUUUAUUUAAUUUUAAUUUUAAUUUUUUUAAAAAAUUACUUUUAAAUUUUUUUAAUUAUAUUAAAAUAAAUAUAUUUUAUAAAUAAUUAAAUAAUUAUAUUUUUUAUAACUUAUUUUAUUAAAAAUAAUUUAUUAUUAUCUAUAUAUUAAAAAUAAUAAAAUAAAAAUUAAAUUAAAUUAAUUUUAAAUUUUAAAUUAAAUUAAAUUUUAAUUUUAAUUUUAUAUAUAAUCGGGGCGGGGCGGGGCGGGGUGGGGCAAUACCCGAACCCGCCCCGGGUUUCAAAAAAAAUCCCAAACCCGUCCCAUACCCGUUUAGAAAAAUAAUAUCCCACCCCAUUAGGGGCGGGGCGGGGCGGGUACCCGAAAUGACCCGCCCCAUUGCCAUCCCUACUCACAACACCCAAACCACUCCAAACAGUCAAAAAAGGGUUAAUUUCAUUGAGUGUAAAUACAUUAAGUCAUGACAAGUUUCACAUUUCAUAAGUUAGCACCCUAUAAAUAUAUUUCAUAUAUAAAUUUUAUUUUUUAAAGAAUAAAAUUUAGUUUUUAGAGAAUUAUUAAACACUCCUAUUUAAAAUAUUUUUAUUUAAAAUCUCUCUAAAAAAUAAAUUUGUUAAACAGAAUAAAUUUAUAAAGGUGCUAAUCGAGGAAAUUUGAAAUCAAUAGUGGUUGGGUGUAUUUACACCAAACCUCGGGGGGCCUUUAUGAAAUUAACCCACCAAAAAAUUUGCUGCCUUAGAAUGCUUGCGUUUGGGCAUUAAAGGAAGAUGUGAUCAGUCAAAUUUUCAUCCACUUUGCACAUGAAACAGCUGUUCGGGAUUACAGGGGAGCAGAACAAAAUGCAAUUCAUCUAUCAAAUAAGUGGACAGUUUUCAAAAGCUAGAUGGAGUUAUAACCCAUUUGGCACCACAAGCAACCAGAAUGAUGUCUAGCAGCAGUUGUAAUAGCUCCACGGCUGUGUGAACUCCAUCAACCAGAGAAGCCCAAUUUACUCUUCAAUCUACAAAGUCAAUUCAAAGAACUGAUCAAUACUGGAUGAUAGCGAAUUUAGGGGCCCAUCUCAUGAACCUCGUGGGAUUUUUUUCUCCCUAUAAUGACAAUGAUGCACAGCCUACUACAGCCGGUAGUCAUUCAAAAAUUUUGAAAAAUUUCAGCUGGACCAUCCUGAAAAUAUAAGAUAAAAAGAAUUAUUAUGUCUGUCCAAGAAGUUUCUUCAUCAUCACAUUCAUCCAUACAGAAAUCUGCUCUGAACAGACAUUAAAUUAUAACUUAUCUUUCAUAUCUUUUUUUCAGCUCUAACAAAAUCUUUCCAUAGAACAUAGGGAUUUUCGAUGGAUCCAAGAAGUUAUGGCUCAUGAAGAAACAAUCAAACCUAUAUGACCUAUAUAUUCUUUUUCAUCUACAAAAGCUUCAUCAAGGAUGAGGUAGACAACACCAUCCCAGGACAGGCUAGAGCAAUGAAAAAUAAUAAAAAAUAAGGCCUAUGCCAUGAUUUGACAAAAACUUCAAUCAAUAUUUAGUUUUUUCUGCUAUAACGUUAGCAUCACCCAUAACUCAAUGUCCCAACAGUCAGCUGACAGUCAGUAAUGCUAAAUAAACUGAUCAUAUAAACCCUUACUUUCUUCCAUCUUUGUAAUUAAAGUAACAAUGACAUGGGGGCAGAACAAUAUGCAAUUCAUCUGUCAACUAAGCCAAAAAGUUCCAUUAGCUAGAUGGAGUUUAUUACCAAUUUGGCACCACAAGUAACCAGAACUGCCUUAAAACAGCAGUGGUAGAAGCUUUUGAUUAGCCCAGAGCCGUGAAUAGAAAACCAUGAACCCCAUCAACCAGUUAAGCCCAAUCCAAGCUUUUGAUUGUUGCCACAGUUGUGCGUAGGAAACUAUGAACUCCAUGGCCAGUGAAGCAUAAUCUGGUUUUCAAUUUACAGAGUCAAUUCUAAGAACCAAUCAACAGGGACAAUAACAAUGUUUAGGAUACAAACAAAAGGCAACAAGCAAAAUAGGAUACUAAUUAAUUAUAAUAUGUAAUUGAUAUGUAGAUAAAUAGGCCACAUGUGUAUGUCGCUGUCUCUGGAGUCGUGUUUGAGAAAAUUAAUAUACGUCAUAGUAUUAGCAUAGCAAUUUAUCCCUACCACCCAAUAUAUCUAAUCCAGAAAGCAGUAGCACAGCCCAGAAGAAGAGCAAGUUCUUCAUCUUAGAGAUUGGAUUGGAUUUGAUAACUAAAAUGGAGAUAUGGCUGUUCAUCAUCAUCUCCCUCUGUGUUGCUACUCUCCUCAAAUCUCUCUAUGAUUUCCUCUUUCCAAAACGAAAGCUCCCACCAGGACCCACCACGGUUCCUAUCAUUGGGAACUUGCAAUGGCUCCUUAUAUCGUCCUUGGAGCUUGAACCAAUCCUCCGAAACCUACACACCAAGUAUGGCCCAAUCAUCACUCUCCAAAUGGGCUUUCACCCGGCCAUCUUCAUCUCCACCAACUCCCUUGCCCACAAGAUGUUGGUCCAAAAUGGUGUCGUUUUUGCUAAUCGUCCUGAGGGGCCAGCCAACAGAAUUGUAAACAGUAAUCAGCAUAACAUCGCCUCAGCCAUAUAUGGCCCAACCUGGCGUCUCCUCCGCCGCAACCUCACUGCUGAGAUCCUGCACCCUUCACGCGUGAGAAACUACUCUCACGCACGAAAGUGGGUCCUGGAGGUUCUAAUCUCUCGGCUUCAAGGCCACUCAGAAUCAGGUGAGUCAGUCCAGGUGGUGGAUCACUUCCGGUAUGCUAUGUUUUGCUUACUGGUUCUCAUGUGUUUUGGGGACAAGCUUGAGGAAAAACAAAUCCAAGAGAUUGAGACGAUUCAACGACGAUUGUUGUUGGGCUUUCCUCGCUUCAACAUAUUAAAUUUCUGGCCUAGGGUGGGAAAGGUAUUGUUCCGGAGUCGUUGGGAGGAGUUGUUCCAGCUUCGCAAAAAUCAGGAAGACACUCUGCUCCCAUACAUAAGAGCCAGGCAGCGACUAAAGCAAGAAAUUCAAAGCAAACAGAACCAAGACAGCCAGGAGUCAGGUUCAUCUUCCUCAAAGAACUAUGUCUUGUCAUACGUCGAUACUUUGCUGGACCUGCAACUGCCAGAAGAGAAGAGGAAGCUAAACGAAGGAGAGAUGAUUGGUUUGUGCUCAGAGUUUCUUGAUGGUGGGACUGACACUACAUCCACUGCACUGCAGUGGAUCAUGGCCAACAUAGUGAAGUACCCACAUAUUCAGAGGAAGCUCUUUGAGGAGAUUAAUGGGGUUGUGGGGGAAGGGAAGGAAGAGGUGGAGGAGGAAGAUUUGAAGAAGAUGCCAUACUUGAAGGCAGUGAUCUUGGAAGGUCUGAGGCGGCAUCCUCCGGGACACUUUGUGUCGCCUCAUUCAGUGACCCAAGUUAUAACCUUUGAAGGGUAUGUUAUACCCAAGAACGCCUCUCUCAAUUUCACGGUAUCAGAGAUGAAUUGGAACCCCAAGAUAUGGGAAGAUCCAAUGAAGUUCAAGCCAGAGAGGUUCUUAAACAGCAAAGGCAAUGGAGAUGAAGUGUUUGAUAUAACUGGGAGCAGGGAGAUUAAGAU